UACACUAGUGUGCACAUUGGUUUU
This 24-nucleotide microRNA is filed under the name Gallus gallus (chicken). Its description in RNAcentral is "microRNA Ros-gga". Lineage: Eukaryota; Metazoa; Chordata; Aves; Galliformes; Phasianidae. The record is from RNAcentral.